This 263-nucleotide unclassified non-coding RNA is filed under the name plant metagenome. RNAcentral describes it as "partial contains small subunit ribosomal RNA, internal transcribed spacer 1, and 5.8S ribosomal RNA". The record is from RNAcentral.
UUUCCGUAGGUGAACCUGCGGAAGGAUCAUUAUUGUAUAACCGAGGUGCGAGGGCUGUCGCUGACCCGACGGGUCGUGCACGCCCGAGUGCCCUCACACACAUCCAUCUCACCCCUAUGUGCACCACCGCGUGGCUCCCCCUUUGGCUUGUUCGGAGGGGGGCUUACGUUUUCACACAAACUUUGUAUGCAGUGUAGAAUGUAUUUUUUGUUUUUGCGAUCACGCAAUCAAUACAACUUUCAACAACGGAUCUCUUGGCUCUC